ACAUGAAUCUAAUAUCUUAUUAUACUUUAUUAAUCUACUCAAAAUUACUUGCACAUUACUAAAAUUUCAUUCCGACAAUGUAUCAAGCGCCUGAAUAAGUGACAUUAAAGUAAACAUAUAUCAGAGAGGAAAUAAGAAGAACUGACGCCUAUGGUCUUCUAUGUUACAGAGCUAGUGCUACACCAUACGGCCAAAUGCCGAAAAUGGCUAGGAUAUCCCAGAGAGAGUAGUGCUGCACCAUGCAGCCAAAUGCUAAUAGACGAAUAUGCGGCUGCUUCUGUUCCAAAUAUCUCCGUUACUGUGCCUGUUGACGGAAAUCGGCGCGGCUGGGAUCGGUAAAGCAUGUCAGAUCCUGCCAUACGCGACCGAUUCCUGGAAUCACCCAUCAUGGCCACGGCUCGACUCUUCCGCGUUCGAAGUUCGCAGCGUGACCGGAGUUGGUCAUCUCAAUCCCUUGUUUAAUUGUUGAUUUUUUUAAAUCUUUGUUUAUUAAUUCCAGGUUUUUUACAUAUUUUUUUUUUUUUU
Long non-coding RNA from Bombus terrestris (buff-tailed bumblebee), 525 nucleotides. RefSeq lists it as uncharacterized. The transcript is spliced from 2 exons. Lineage: Eukaryota; Metazoa; Arthropoda; Insecta; Hymenoptera; Apidae. The record is from RefSeq and is a predicted model, not a curated record.